RNAcentral lists this transfer RNA (65 nucleotides) under Heterophrynus longicornis. RNAcentral describes it as "tRNA-Met". Lineage: Eukaryota; Metazoa; Arthropoda; Arachnida; Amblypygi; Phrynidae. The record is from RNAcentral.
AAAAAGGUAAGCUAAGUACAAGCUACUGGGUUCAUACCCCAAGAAUAGACACAAUCUCCUUUUUA